UAUAUGAUGCUUCCGUUUAUAUAAUACAUAUUCAAACAGUUUUCCAUAUCUAUACCUUUACUUAUUCCUUUUCAAUUCAUAUUUUCUUUCUAAGUUAAUGAUUUGUCCAUUUUUAUUUUUAUCUCGAACAGCCGUCAAUCUUCAUCGUGCCCAAUCGCCAUCAUGCUUGGAACUAAUCCCUCAAGUCAGUCACCAUCGUGUUUACAAGAAACCCCUCCUGCCCAUUCGUCUUUGAAUACACUGUUGUGCCCAGUCGUCUUUGAAACCACCACCACCGUGCUCAGUCGUCGUCAUGCUUCUGCCACAAGAAUCCUUCGUGCCCAGUCGUCUUUGAAUCCACCACCACAUGCCCAACCGACCACCACCACAUGCAAGCUCAGAUCUUGUAUAUAAAUCUGCAUUCGAAUCGAAGUGCCGUCCGUUGAACGCCUUGAACGAUUUCAAAGUAAAAAAAUAUGAUUGUGGUGCACGACUGUUGGAUUUGUAGAACUGGUGAUUGUGAGUUUUUAUUAUUGAUAUCACGUGUAUGGUAAUUAAAAAGCUUGGUUGUGAGAUUUGUAGAACUUGUAAGAUUGUUUCGAAUAUUUUAUACUCUGUCAUUUGUAAAACAUGUAGAACUUGUAGGACUUUGAGGUAUCUCAUACACUACUGCACUAUAUAUUUCAUAUUGUGUAUAUGUUUCAACAUUGUUUUAACCAUAAAAAAGUACCAUAAAGACAGAUUUUCUAAAAUAUAGUGUGGUUAUUAUUUUAA
Cucumis sativus (cucumber) is the source of this 753-nucleotide long non-coding RNA. RefSeq lists it as uncharacterized. Lineage: Eukaryota; Viridiplantae; Streptophyta; Magnoliopsida; Cucurbitales; Cucurbitaceae. The transcript is spliced from 3 exons. The record is from RefSeq and is a predicted model, not a curated record.